Molecule: long non-coding RNA, 497 nt
Filed under: Cricetulus griseus (Chinese hamster)
Lineage: Eukaryota; Metazoa; Chordata; Mammalia; Rodentia; Cricetidae
Description: lncRNA (ENSCGRG00015042614.1)
Source: RNAcentral
AGUGUCUGUGGAUGUCAGAAGAGGACCUCGGACCACUGGGGACUGGAGUUAUAGACAGUUUGCUGAAGAGGAAAUGAGGGAGAAGGAAGAGAAGAAUGAGAGGGGAAGAGGAAGGAGAAAAACAAAAGGUUUGACACACAGAGCCAAGUGGCUGUGGACCGGAACCUCUGGCACCCUUUGAAGCUCAGCAGAAAAAAUUUCACUCAGAAUGGUGUCAGAAAGAUGGCGGUGUAUCAACUAGGGAUGCCUCUACGUCCUUCAGUCCUUUACUGGACACCUAACUUGACAGCAGCAACAAUGGGCUCAGCACCAACAGCUGCUGUUUCAUCCAGAAACCAGCUGCCAGGUCCCCACAACUCACUCGGUUUUUCCACAAAAGAAGUGUGCAGGCCGAGCUGGAGAGAUGGCUCAGAGGUUAAGAGCACCAACUGCCCUUCCAGAGGUCCUGAGUUCAAUUCCCAGCAACCACAUGGUGGCUCACAACCAUCCGUUAUGAG